This 457-nucleotide RNase P RNA is filed under the name Thermostichus vulcanus str. 'Rupite'. Its description in RNAcentral is "RNase P RNA component class A". It matches the Rfam family "Bacterial RNase P class A". Rfam says of the family: Ribonuclease P (RNase P) is a ubiquitous endoribonuclease, found in archaea, bacteria and eukarya as well as chloroplasts and mitochondria. Its best characterised activity is the generation of mature 5'-ends of tRNAs by cleaving the 5'-leader elements of precursor-tRNAs. Cellular RNase Ps are ribonucleoproteins. The record is from RNAcentral. Lineage: Bacteria; Bacillati; Cyanobacteriota; Cyanophyceae; Thermostichales; Thermostichaceae.
GAGAGGAGGGGCAGGCGGUCGCGUCGGUGCUGUCGCUACUAGGCAGCAAGAUGAGGAAAGUCCGGGCUUUCAGAAGAACACACCGCUGGGGAAAUUCCCAGUGCGGGCAACCGUGAGGAUAGUGCCACAGAAACAUACCGCCGAUGGCUGAAUCAGCACCGGUUCAGCACAGGUAAGGGUGCAAAGGUAGGGUAAGAGCCUACCAGCAACGUCGAGAGGCGUUGGCUCGGUAAACCCCGGUGGAAAGCAAGGCCGCAGCGGACAGGAUUAUGGCUGUUCUUCGCCCCUGUUGGCUGCAUCGAGAUCACGGUACCCAGUUGGGGAAGGGUGGUCUCGGUGGUGGUGCGCCGCAAGAGGGUGAUGGCAACAUCACUCCCAGAUAGAUGAUCGCCAGUGCAGGUUCACUCUGCAGAUGAACUCUGCACCACAGAACCCGGCUUACAACCUCCUUUCUUUU